Molecule: ribosomal RNA, 254 nt
Filed under: uncultured bacterium
Lineage: Bacteria
Description: partial 16S ribosomal RNA
Rfam family: Bacterial small subunit ribosomal RNA
Source: RNAcentral
CGGACGGGUGAGUAAUGUCUGGGAAACUGCCUGAUGGAGGGGGGAUAACUACUGGAAACGGUAGCUAAUACCGCAUAAUGUCGCAAGACCAAAGAGGGGGACCUUCGGGCCUCUUGCCAUCGGAUGUGCCCAGAUGGGAUUAGCUAGUAGGUGGGGUAACGGCUCACCUAGGCGACGAUCCCUAGCUGGUCUGAGAGGAUGACCAGCCACACUGGAACUGAGACACGGUCCAGACUCCUACGGGAGGCAGCAUG